RNAcentral lists this ribosomal RNA (497 nucleotides) under uncultured bacterium. RNAcentral's name for it is "partial 16S ribosomal RNA". It matches the Rfam family "Bacterial small subunit ribosomal RNA", at positions 28 to 507 of the family's 1533-position model. The record is from RNAcentral.
GAUGAACGCUGGCGGCGUGCCUAAUACAUGCAAGUCGAGCGAACGGACGAGAAGCUUGCUUCUCUGAUGUUAGCGGCGGACGGGUGAGUAAAACGUGGAUAACCUACCUAUAAGACUGGGAUAACUUCGGGAAACCGGAGCUAAUACCGGAUGAUAUUUUGAACCGCAUGGUUCAAAAGUGAAAGACGGUCUUGCUGUCACUUAUAGAUGGAUCCGCGCUGCAUUAGCUAGUUGGUAAGGUAACGGCUUACCAAGGCAACGAUGCAUAGCCGACCUGAGAGGGUGAUCGGCCACACUGGAGCUGAGACACGGUCCAGACUCCUACGGGAGGCAGCAGUAGGGAAUCUUCCGCAAUGGGCGAAAGCCUGACGGAGCAACGCCGCGUGAGUGAUGAAGGUCUUCGGAUCGUAAAACUCUGUUAUUAGGGAAGAACAUAUGUGUAAGUAACUGUGCACAUCUUGACGGUACCUAAUCAGAAAGCCACGGCUAACUACGUG